CUAGUAUUUUUGGGUUUAAUAUAAGAAAAUGAGUGAGAAAGUGAAGUACUAGAUAGGUAAGGGAGAAAAGCAGUGAGAGAAGAGAUAGAAAAGAGAUUGCGACAAUGGUGGAUUCCGUUUAGUUUUUAUAGAAAACGUAGAUGAACGUUGAAAAUUGUUUAGGAGGACAAUUUUAUACCAUUCUAUCAAUUGGGUUUUUUGAGGAAUAUAUUUAAUUAUAAUGGCAAAAUUGACAUUUCACUUAUCUUAUGUCAAAGAAUAAAUAGUGAACUAACAGUAACAAAAUAUAGGGACAAAUAUAAAUGUUGUGUUUCUGAGCUUUGGAUAGGAUUGGCUUCAGUAAUAGUGACUGGUCGACAUAUCUGGAGAGUGUCGGACUGAGUCGGAGUUGUUUCUGUGCGAAAUGGAUGCAGAAAUAGACUCGGUGCACUCAAUUAAGAAAAACUGGAGUUUUGCCAUAUUCGGGCGCCCAGAACUGGUUUUGGAUCGCCCAGAAGUUGAGUGCAAAACUGAGCAGA
This 518-nucleotide long non-coding RNA is filed under the name Ananas comosus (pineapple). Its description in RNAcentral is "long non-coding RNA (ACOM_LNC016728)". The record is from RNAcentral. Lineage: Eukaryota; Viridiplantae; Streptophyta; Magnoliopsida; Poales; Bromeliaceae.